GAUGAACGCUGGCGGCGUGCCUAAUACAUGCAAGUCGAGCGAACGGACGAGAAGCUUGCUUUUCUGAUGUUAGCGGCGGACGGGUGAGUAACACGUGGAUAACCUACCUAUAAGACUGGGAUAACUUCGGGAAACCGGAGCUAAUACCGGAUAAUAUUUUGAACCGCAUGGUUCAAAGGUGAAAGACGGUGUUGCUGUCACUUAUAGAUGGAUCCGCGCUGCAUUAGCUAGUUGGUAAGGUAACGGCUUACCAAGGCAACGAUGCAUAGCCGACCUGAGAGGGUGAUCGGCCACACUGGAACUGAGACACGGUCCAGACUCCUACGGGAGGCAGCAGUAGGGAAUCUUCCGCAAUGGGCGAAAGCCUGACGGAGCAACGCCGCGUGAGUGAUGAAGGUCUUCGGAUCGUAAAACUCUGUUAUUAGGGAAGAACAUAUGUGUAAGUAACUGUGCACAUCUUGACGGUACCUAAUCAGAAAGCCACGGCUAACUACGUG
RNAcentral lists this ribosomal RNA (497 nucleotides) under uncultured bacterium. RNAcentral describes it as "partial 16S ribosomal RNA". It matches the Rfam family "Bacterial small subunit ribosomal RNA", at positions 28 to 507 of the family's 1533-position model. The record is from RNAcentral.